RNAcentral lists this ribosomal RNA (253 nucleotides) under uncultured bacterium. Its description in RNAcentral is "partial 16S ribosomal RNA". It matches the Rfam family "Bacterial small subunit ribosomal RNA", at positions 524 to 776 of the family's 1533-position model. The record is from RNAcentral.
UACGUAGGGUGCAAGCGUUAAUCGGAAUUACUGGGCGUAAAGCGUGCGCAGGCGGUUCGUCGUGUCUCGUGUGAAAGCCCCGGGCUCAACCUGGGAAUGGCAUGGGAAACUGGCGAACUGGAGUGUGGCAGAGGGGGGUGGAAUUCCGCGUGUAGCAGUGAAAUGCGUAGAGAUGCGGAGGAACACCGAUGGCGAAGGCAGCCCCCUGGGCUGACACUGACGCUCAGGCACGAAAGCGUGGGGAGCAAACAGG